RNAcentral lists this ribosomal RNA (455 nucleotides) under uncultured bacterium. RNAcentral describes it as "bacterial SSU rRNA". It matches the Rfam family "Bacterial small subunit ribosomal RNA", at positions 340 to 784 of the family's 1533-position model. The record is from RNAcentral.
UACGGAAGGCAGCAGUGGGGAAUAUUGCACAAUGGGCGCAAGCCUGAUGCAGCCAUGCCGCGUGUAUGAAGAAGGCCUUCGGGUUGUAAAGUACUUUCAGUCGUGAGGAAGGUGUUAAGGUUAAUAACCUUAGCAAUUGACGUUAGCGACAGAAGAAGCACCGGCUAACUCCGUGCCAGCAGCCGCGGUAAUACGGAGGGUGCGAGCGUUAAUCGGAAUUACUGGGCGUAAAGGGCACGCAGGCGGUUAAUUAAGUUGGAUGUGAAAUCCCCGGGCUUAACCUGGGAAUGGCAUUCAAGACUGGUUAGCUAGAGUCUUGUAGAGGGGGUUAGAAUUCCAUGUGUAGCGGUGAAAUGCGUAGAGAUGUGGAGGAAUACCGGUGGCGAAGGCGGCCCCUGGGACAAAGGACUGACGCUCGAUGUGCGAAAGCGUGGGGAGCAAACAGGGAUUAGAUA